GUUCAUCCCAGUCUCAGCAGAGAACAGUUUCAAUCCAUGUUUCAGAUUCACCCAGAUGCCUUGGAUAAUUUGUUUUGGAAAACAUAUAUUGAAGAUAUCAGAGCCACAGUAUGACAGAAGACUAGGUCCCAGAAUCACAACUGGAAGGAAAGUCAUGCACUAAUGAAGAAAACAAUUCUUAAGGCUUAUAUGAGCUGAAAACAAACUUCUGUCAUGUUGCUGCCUUUAUCCAUUUUUAAAAGAUGUUUGUCAUCAGUAGUGCUACUCUAAUAAAAUACAUCAUGAGCACAAUAACUUAAACUGGUCUCAUUAUAAAUCCUAGAUCUCCUAUCAUCACAGUUUAAAUCCAGACUACUGGUGUGGAAAGGUAUAUAAAUGCCUUCCAGAAUCUGAAAGGCAUAAUUUUGUUCACUUAUUUCAGGUUUUACUAAGGAUUCCAUACCCUUGGCUUCUGUUGAAUUAUUUC
Molecule: long non-coding RNA, 466 nt
Filed under: Homo sapiens (human)
Lineage: Eukaryota; Metazoa; Chordata; Mammalia; Primates; Hominidae
Description: HSALNT0027620
Source: RNAcentral